CGGAAAGACCCCGUGAACCUUUACUAUAGCUUGACACUGAACAUUGAGCCUUGAUGUGUAGGAUAGGUGGGAGGCUUUGAAGUGUGGACGCCAGUCUGCAUGGAGCCGACCUUGAAAUACCACCCUUUAAUGUUUGAUGUUCUAACGUGGACCCGUGAUCCGGGUUGCGGACAGUGUCUGGUGGGUAGUUUGACUGGGGCGGUCUCCUCCUAAAGAGUAACGGAGGAGCACGAAGGUUGGCUAAUCCUGGUCGGACAUCAGGAGGUUAGUGCAAUGGCAUAAGCCAGCUUGACUGCGAGCGUGACGGCGCGAGCAGGUGCGAAAGCAGGUCAUAGUGAUCCGGUGGUUCUGAAUGGAAGGGCCAUCGCUCAACGGAUAAAAGGUACUCCGGGGAUAACAGGCUGAUACCGCCCAAGAGUUCAUAUCGACGGCGGUGUUUGGCACCUCGAUGUCGGCUCAUCACAUCCUGGGGCUGAAGUAGGUCCCAAGGGUAUGGCUGUUCGCCAUUUAAAGUGGUACGCGAGCUGGGUUUAGAACGUCGUGAGACAGUUCGGUCCCUAUCUGCCGUGGGCGCUGGAGAACUGAGGGGGGCUGCUCCUAGUACGAGAGGACCGGAGUGGACGCAUCACUGGUGUUCGGGUUGUCAUGCCAAUGGCACUGCCCGGUAGCUAAAUGCGGAAGAGAUAAGUGCUGAAAGCAUCUAAGCACGAAACUUGCCCCGAGAUGAGUUCUCCCUGAGACUUAGAGUCUCCUGAAGGAACGUUGAAGACGACGACGUUGAUAGGCCGGGUGUGUAAGCGCAGCGAUGCGUUGAGCUAACCGGUACUAAUGAACCGUGAGGCUUAACCUUACAACGCCGAAG
This 862-nucleotide ribosomal RNA is filed under the name Salmonella enterica subsp. enterica serovar Kentucky. RNAcentral describes it as "partial 23S ribosomal RNA". It matches the Rfam family "Bacterial large subunit ribosomal RNA", at positions 2081 to 2925 of the family's 2925-position model. Lineage: Bacteria; Pseudomonadati; Pseudomonadota; Gammaproteobacteria; Enterobacterales; Enterobacteriaceae. The record is from RNAcentral.